GACGAACGCUGGCGGCGUGCCUAAUACAUGCAAGUAGAACGCACAGUUUAUACCGUAGCUUGCUACACCAUAGACUGUGAGUUGCGAACGGGUGAGUAACGCGUAGGUAACCUGCCUGGUAGCGGGGGAUAACUAUUGGAAACGAUAGCUAAUACCGCAUAAUAUUAAUUAUUUCAUGAUAAUUAAUUGAAAGGUGCAAUUGCACCACUACCAGAUGGACCUGCGUUGUAUUAGCUAGUAGGUGAGGUAACGGCUCACCUAGGCGACGAUAAAUAGCCGACCUGAGAGGGUGAUCGGACACACUGGGACUGAGACACGGCCCAGACUCCUACGGGAGGCAGCAGUAGGGAAUCUUCGGCAAUGGACGAAAGUCUGACCGAGCAACGCCGCGUGAGUGAAGAAGGUUUUCGGAUCGUAAAGCUCUGUUGUAAGAGAAGAACGGGUGUGAGAGUGGAAAGUUCACACUGUGACGGUAUCUUACCAGAAAGGGACGGCUAACUACGUG
RNAcentral lists this ribosomal RNA (505 nucleotides) under uncultured bacterium. RNAcentral's name for it is "partial 16S ribosomal RNA". It matches the Rfam family "Bacterial small subunit ribosomal RNA", at positions 28 to 507 of the family's 1533-position model. The record is from RNAcentral.